Molecule: transfer RNA, 74 nt
Filed under: Candidatus Bathyarchaeota archaeon
Lineage: Archaea; Thermoproteati; Candidatus Bathyarchaeota
Description: tRNA-Thr
Rfam family: tRNA
About the family: Transfer RNA (tRNA) molecules are approximately 80 nucleotides in length. Their secondary structure includes four short double-helical elements and three loops (D, anti-codon, and T loops).
Source: RNAcentral
GCCUCCGUGGCUCAGCGUGGUAGAGCGGCCGCCUUGUAAGCGGCAUGUCGCGGGUUCAAAUCCCGCCGGAGGCU